Molecule: ribosomal RNA, 802 nt
Filed under: uncultured bacterium
Lineage: Bacteria
Description: bacterial SSU rRNA
Rfam family: Bacterial small subunit ribosomal RNA
Source: RNAcentral
AGAGUUUGAUCAUGGCUCAGAACGAACGCUGGCGGCGUGGAUAAGACAUGCAAGUCGAACGCGACUUAUCUGAUUAGCAAUAAUUAGGUAAGUUGAGUGGCGAAAGGGUGCGUAACACGUGGGAAUUUACCAAGAAGUGGGGAAUAGCUCGGCGAAAGCCGAAUUAAUACCGCAUACGAUCGAAAGAUCAAAGCCGGGGACCGCAAGGCCUGGCGCUUUUUGAGAAGCCCGCGGCCCAUCAGCUAGUUGGUGAGGUAAUGGCUCACCAAGGCUAUGACGGGUAGCUGGUCUGAGAGGACGACCAGCCACACUGGAACUGAGACACGGUCCAGACACCUACGGGUGGCAGCAGUCGAGAAUUUUUCACAAUGGACGAAAGUCUGAUGGAGCGACGCCGCGUGGAGGAUGAAGGUUCUUGGAUUGUAAACUCCUGUCACUGCAGAACAAGGAUACGCCAGUUAACAGCCGGCGUAUUUGAUGGUAUGCGGAGAGGAAGGGACGGCUAACUCUGUGCCAGCAGCCGCGGUAAGACAGAGGUCCCGAGCGUUGUUCGGAUUCAUUGGGCGUAAAGGGUGUGUAGGAGGUCGGGUAAGUCAGGUGUGAAAUCUCACAGCUUAACUGUGAAACUGCGCUUGAUACUGCUCGGCUAGAGGAUCGGAGGGGGUAACGGAAUUUAUGGUGUAGCAGUGAAAUGCGUAGAUAUCAUAAGGAACACCGGUGGCGAAGGCGGUUACCUGGAAGAUUCCUGACUCUGAAACACGAAAGCCAGGGGAGCAAACGGGAUUAGAUACCCCAGUAGUCC